RNAcentral lists this ribosomal RNA (497 nucleotides) under uncultured bacterium. Its description in RNAcentral is "partial 16S ribosomal RNA". It matches the Rfam family "Bacterial small subunit ribosomal RNA", at positions 28 to 507 of the family's 1533-position model. The record is from RNAcentral.
GAUGAACGCUGGCGGCGUGCCUAAUACAUGCAAGUCGAGCGAACAGACGAGGAGCUUGCUCCUCUGACGUUAGCGGCGGACGGGUGAGUAACAAGUGGAUAACCUACCUAUAAGACUGGGAUAACGUCGGGAAACCGGAGCUAAUACCGGAUAAUCUAUUGAACCGCAUGGUUCAAUAGUGAAAGACGGUUUUGCUGUCACUUAUAGAUGGAUCCGCGCCGCAUUAGCUAGUUGGUAAGGUAACGGCUUACCAAGGCAACGGUGCGUAGCCGACCUGAGAGUGUGAGCGGCCACAGCGGAACUGAGACACGGUCCAGACUCCUACGGGAGGCAGCAGUAGGGAAUCGGCCGCAAUGGGCGAAAGCCUGACGGAGCAGCGCCGAGUGAGUGAGGAAGGUCUUCGGAUCGUAAAACUCUGUUAUUAGGGAAGAACAAAUGGGUAAGUAACUAUGCACGUCUUGACGGUACCUAAUCAGAAAGCCACGGCUAACUACGUG